Molecule: long non-coding RNA, 282 nt
Filed under: Phoenix dactylifera (date palm)
Lineage: Eukaryota; Viridiplantae; Streptophyta; Magnoliopsida; Arecales; Arecaceae
Description: long non-coding RNA (PDAC_LNC002727)
Source: RNAcentral
UCUCCACGUCCGUUCCAGCUCCUCUGUUUCACGCAGCCGUAAGCUUGAAUCCAGCCAUUCACUUGGGUAGUUUCACGUCCACUGUCCGCGAUCCAAGGCCUCCUCCAUCGACACGGGAUAAGCUCUAAAUCCAACUGCAUCAUCCUCUGUUCUGCACCUCACGAAUCAGUUUCUCAUCCCAUGAAGCAUCUCAGUCUGUGUUCAUUCCGUUUGCAUGUCGUUCGAAACCCAUCUUGUUCAAACUCCCAGCUCUCGUAUCCCAUUUCAAAUCCAACCUUCACC